AAAUAUUGUUCUCUAAAUUGCUAAAUAAACCUAGGUACUAUAUUUCUGGAUUCAGUAAUUUUAAAUGCAAAUAUAUUACUUGAUCAUCGCAUGCCUCAAGUAAUGAUUCCUACUAUCCUCCAUUAGUUUUACUGCCUUUUUGCACCUCAAUUCCUACACAUUGCAGUUUUCUCUGUACGAGGAAAGCUUCUUAUCAAUUGGUCUCUCCCAUGAGAUGCCUAAGCUAUCCCGGUUGCCACCCGAGACAGGAUAAAAGCAAUACAUUUACUAUUCAUCAUCGAUUCUUAACUUGUUUGUGAGGGCUUUUCCCCAAAACCAGUAGCCACAUAAAAGCUUGACAUCAUUGAGGGAUUUCCAAGUUCCAAAUUAGCUUAUAAAGCUCAUAAAAGAGUCAACCAUAGGUCACAAAGGUGCCAUAAUACUUGUCAAAGUGAGCACCUUGGAGUAAUAUGAAGUGAAGCAUUUACAGAUUAAUUGAAAAAAAUAUAAUGCAGUUCUAAAUCUUAUGGCAGAAGUGCUAUUUCUCACUUUGCAAGAAACAUCGGAAGCUAUUGCUCUGAUACCAAUGAUCAUUUAGAGAAAGGA
RNAcentral lists this long non-coding RNA (585 nucleotides) under Elaeis guineensis (African oil palm). RNAcentral's name for it is "long non-coding RNA (EGUI_LNC018571)". The record is from RNAcentral. Lineage: Eukaryota; Viridiplantae; Streptophyta; Magnoliopsida; Arecales; Arecaceae.